AGAAUGAACGCUGGCGGCAUGCCUAACACAUGCAAGUCGAACGAAUACCCUUCGGGGUGUUAGUGGCGCACGGGUGCGUAACGCGUGGGAAUCUACCCUUGGGUUCGGAAUAACAGUUAGAAAUGACUGCUAAUACCGGAUGAUGACGUAAGUCCAAAGAUUUAUCGCCCAGGGAUGAGCCCGCGUAGGAUUAGCUAGUUGGUGUGGUAAAGGCGCACCAAGGCGACGAUCCUUAGCUGGUCUGAGAGGAUGAUCAGCCACACUGGGACUGAGACACGGCCCAGACUCCUACGGGAGGCAGCAGUGGGGAAUCUUGCGCAAUGGGCGAAAGCCUGACGCAGCAACGCCGCGUGAGGGACGAAGGCCUUCUGGGUUGUAAACCUCUUUCAGCAGGGACGAUGAUGACGGUACCUGCAGAAGAAGCCCGGCACUACGCGCCAGCAGCCGC
RNAcentral lists this ribosomal RNA (448 nucleotides) under uncultured bacterium. RNAcentral's name for it is "SSU rRNA". It matches the Rfam family "Bacterial small subunit ribosomal RNA", at positions 26 to 518 of the family's 1533-position model. The record is from RNAcentral.